This 839-nucleotide ribosomal RNA is filed under the name uncultured euryarchaeote. Its description in RNAcentral is "bacterial SSU rRNA". It matches the Rfam family "Archaeal small subunit ribosomal RNA", at positions 21 to 865 of the family's 1478-position model. The record is from RNAcentral. Lineage: Archaea; Methanobacteriati; Methanobacteriota.
AGGUUACUGCUAUCGAGGUUCGACUAAGCCAUGCGAGUCGAAUGUAGCAAUACAUGGCGUACUGCUCAGUAACACGUGGACAACCUACCCUUGGGACGGGGAUAAACCCGGGAAACUGGGUAUAAUACCCGAUAGAUCUCGACUGCUGGAAUGCAUCGAGUUCGAAAGCUCCGGUGCCCAAGGAUGGGUCUGCGGCCUAUCAGGUAGUAGUGGGUGUAGCGUACCUACUAGCCUACGACGGGUACGGGUUGUGAGAGCAAGAGCCCGGAGAUGGAUUCUGAGACACGAAUCCAGGCCCUACGGGGUGCAGCAGGCGCGAAAACUUUACAAUGCUGGAAACAGCGAUAAGGGGACCUCGAGUGCCAGGUUACAAAUCUGGCUGUCGUGAUGCCUAAAAAGCAUUGCAUAGCAAGGGCCGGGCAAGACCGGUGCCAGCCGCCGCGGUAACACCGGCGGCUCGAGUGGUAACCGUUAUUAUUGGGUCUAAAGGGUCUGUAGCCGGCCGGAUAAGUCUCUUGGGAAAUCUGGCAGCUUAACUGUCAGGCUUUCAGGGGAUACUGUCUGGCUCGAGGCCGGGAGAGGUGAGAGGUACUUCAGGGGUAGGGGUGAAAUCUUGUAAUCCUUGAAGGACCACCAGUGGCGAAGGCGUCUCACCAGAACGGACCUGACGGCAAGGGACGAAAGCUAGGGGCACGAACCGGAUUAGAUACCCGGGUAGUCCUAGCCGUAAACGAUACUCGCUAGGUGUCGGCCACGGUGCGACCGUGGUCGGUGCCGUAGGGAAGCCGUGAAGCGAGCCACCUGGGAAGUACGGCCGCAAGGCUGAAACUUAAAGGAAU